AUGUCCGUCGCGGCCGCGGCCGCCUCCCUCGUCGCCUCCUCUUCGCUCUCCGUUCCCGACCACCUCCGCCUCCGCCGCCCCCCGCCACCGCUCCGCUUCCGCCGCCGAUCAAAGGACCGCCUCGUUCUUGCUGUUCUCGAGGAGAAAUCCUCCUCUGCGUUUACUGAGGAGGAAGCCAGGAAGUUCGGGCUCAACGGGAGCGCGAGCAGGCUCGGGUACGACGAUGCCGCGGUGGAGGCGUACCUCGGGUCCAACGGCAACGGAAACAGCAACAGCAACAGGAGUGCGAGUGGGAGUGGGAACGGCGCGAGCGUGAAGCCCGUGCCAUCCGGGUCUGGCACUUCUGUGGUAUCCGGCCGUGGGCCGGGUGAGGAUGAGAGGAGGAAGGAGAGAGUGGAGGAGAUAGGCAGGGAGGACGCAUGGUUUAAGCGAAGCGACGGAGAGGCCAUGCCCAAGGUGUCUGUUGUUCCUGGUGGUCGUUGGAAUCGGUUUAAAACCUAUUCAACGAUUCAAAGAACCUUGGAGAUAUGGGGCUCUGUCUUCGCAUUUAUAUUCAAGGUUUGGCUCAACAACCAGAAGUUCACUUAUCGAGGGGGGAUGACGGAAGAGAAAAGGGUAAUGAGGAGGAAAGUUCUUGCCAAGUGGCUCAAGGAGAGUAUUUUGAGAUUAGGCCCCACAUUUAUUAAAAUAGGACAGCAAUUCUCCACCAGGGUGGAUAUUCUUCCAAAAGAAUAUGUGGAUCAAUUAUCUGAAUUGCAGGAUCAGGUCCCUCCAUUCCCUUCAGAGACAGCUGUGUCAACUAUUGAAGAAGAGCUGGGAGCAUCUGUAAAUGAGAUAUUUGAACGAUUUGACGUUGAACCAUUAGCUGCUGCUAGCCUCGGCCAGGUUCAUCGGGCAAGCCUAAAUGGCCAAGAAGUUGUACUCAAGGUGCAAAGGCCUGGUCUGAAAGAGCUGUUUGAUAUUGAUCUGAAGAAUUUAAGGGUAAUAGCAGAAUACCUUCAGAAAGUGGAUCCCAAGUCAGAUGGUGCCAAGAGAGACUGGGUUGCUAUUUAUGAUGAAUGUGCAAAUGUAUUAUAUCAGGAAAUAGACUAUACCAAAGAAGCAUUUAAUGCUGAAAAGUUUGCUGAAAACUUCAAAAAUAUGGAUUAUGUGAAGGUUCCAGAAAUUUACUGGGAGUAUACUACACCUCAGGUUCUAACAAUGGAGUAUGUCCCAGGAAUCAAAAUAAAUAGGAUACAGCAGAUAGAUAAGUUAGGGCUUGAUCGGAAAAGGUUAGGCCGGUAUGCUGUUGAGUCCUACCUUGAGCAGAUUUUAUCGCAUGGAUUUUUCCACGCCGACCCGCAUCCAGGGAACAUUGCUGUUGAUGAUGCCAAUGGUGGGAGGCUUAUCUUCUAUGACUUUGGGAUGAUGGGAAGUAUUAGCCCAAAUAUCCGCGAAGGACUGCUUGAAGUAUUUUAUGGAGUUUAUGAAAAAGAUCCUGAUAAAGUGCUUCAAGCAAUGGUUCAAAUGGGUGUCCUUGUUCCUACUGGAGAUAUGACAGCCGUCAGAAGAACAGCUCAAUUUUUCCUGGAUAGCUUUGAAGAGCGUCUAGCUGCACAAAGGAAAGAGAGAGAGAUGGCAACCGUGGAACCUGGAUUUAAAAAACAAUUAUCUAAGGAGGAAAAGUUUGAAAAGAAGAAGCAGAGACUUGCAGCUAUCGGAGAGGAUCUUUUGGCAAUUGCUGCUGAUCAACCAUUUCGGUUUCCUGCCACCUUUACAUUUGUGGUCAGAGCAUUCUCAGUACUGGAUGGUAUUGGGAAAGGUUUAGAUCCUAGAUUUGAUAUUACAGAGAUUGCUAAGCCUUAUGCCAUGGAGUUGCUCAGAUUUAAUGAAGCUGGUGUUGAAGUACUUGUUAAGGAUGCAAGGAAGCGAUGGGACAGGCAAUCUCGUGCAUUCUACAAUGUGUUCCGUCAACCUGACAGAGUUGAAAAACUUGCACAGAUUAUUGAGCGUUUGGAGCAAGGUGAUCUCAAGCUUCGUGUCAGAGCAUUAGAAUCAGAAAGAUCGUUUCAAAGAGUUGCCGCUGUACAGAAAACAAUUGGAUAUGGAGUGGCUGCCGGGAGUUUGGUAAACCUCGCUACCAUUCUGCACCUCAAUUCGAUCCGGAUGCCAGCAACCAUCGGAUACUGUCUUUGUGCGUUCUUUGGGCUACAAAUCCUGCUUGGCGUUCUCAAGGUGAAGAAGCUGGACCAACAAGAGAGAUUGAUAACCGGCACUGCCUGA
Molecule: ribosomal RNA, 2262 nt
Filed under: Triticum aestivum (bread wheat)
Lineage: Eukaryota; Viridiplantae; Streptophyta; Magnoliopsida; Poales; Poaceae
Description: partial small subunit ribosomal RNA
Source: RNAcentral